This 172-nucleotide ribosomal RNA is filed under the name Amanita sp. 'QUE04'. RNAcentral describes it as "Amanita sp. 'sp-QUE04' partial 28S ribosomal RNA". It matches the Rfam family "Eukaryotic large subunit ribosomal RNA", at positions 1 to 157 of the family's 3401-position model. The record is from RNAcentral. Lineage: Eukaryota; Fungi; Basidiomycota; Agaricomycetes; Agaricales; Amanitaceae.
UUGACCUCAAAUCAGGUAGGACUACCCGCUGAACUUAAGCAUAUCAAUAAGCGGAGGAAAAGAAACUAACAAGGAUUCCCCUAGUAACUGCGAGUGAAGCGGGAAAAGCUCAAAUUUGAAAUCUGGCAGUCUCUUUUUUCUUAUUUGGCUGUCCGAGUUGUAAUCUAGAGAA